CCUACGGGCGGCAGCAGUGAGGAAUAUUGGUCAAUGGACGAGAGUCUGAACCAGCCAAGUAGCGUGAAGGAUGACUGCCCUAUGGGUUGUAAACUUCUUUUAUAUGGGAAUAAAAUGUUCCCCGUGUGGGAUUUUGUAUGUACCAUCUGAAUAAGGAUCGGCUAACUCCGUGCCAGCAGCCGCGUUAAUACGGAGCAUCCGAGAGUUAUCCGGAUUUAUUGGGUUUAAAUGAGGCGUAGGUGGAUUGUUAAGUCAGUUGUGAAAGUUUGCGGCUCAACCGUAAAAUUGCAGUUGAAACUGGCAGUCUUGAGUACAGUAGAGGUGGGCGGAAUUCGUGGUGUAGCGGUGAAAUGCUUAGAUAUCACGAAGAACUCCGAGUGCGAAGGCAGUUCACUGGACUGCAACUGACACUGAGGCUCGAAAGUGUGGGUAUCAAACAGGAUUAGAUACCCUGGUAGUC
RNAcentral lists this ribosomal RNA (460 nucleotides) under uncultured bacterium. Its description in RNAcentral is "partial 16S ribosomal RNA". It matches the Rfam family "Bacterial small subunit ribosomal RNA", at positions 338 to 795 of the family's 1533-position model. The record is from RNAcentral.